This 518-nucleotide ribosomal RNA is filed under the name uncultured Gallionella sp. RNAcentral describes it as "bacterial SSU rRNA". It matches the Rfam family "Bacterial small subunit ribosomal RNA", at positions 387 to 896 of the family's 1533-position model. The record is from RNAcentral. Lineage: Bacteria; Pseudomonadati; Pseudomonadota; Betaproteobacteria; Nitrosomonadales; Gallionellaceae.
UCCAGCCAUACCGCGUGAGUGAAGAAGGCCUUCGGGUUGUAAAGCUCUUUCAGCCGGAAAGAAAUCGCGUUUAUUAAUACUAAGCGUGGAUGACGGUACCGGAAGAAGAAGCACCGGCUAACUACGUGCCAGCAGCCGCGGUAAUACGUAGGGUGCGAGCGUUAAUCGGAAUUACUGGGCGUAAAGCGUGCGCAGGCGGUUCUGUAAGACAGAUGUGAAAUCCCCGGGCUCAACCUGGGAACUGCAUUUGUGACUGCAAGACUAGAGUGUAGCAGAGGGGGGUAGAAUUCCACGUGUAGCAGUGAAAUGCGUAGAGAUGUGGAGGAAUACCGAUGGCGAAGGCAGCCCCCUGGGCUAACACUGACGCUCAUGCACGAAAGCGUGGGGAGCAAACAGGAUUAGAUACCCUGGUAGUCCACGCCCUAAACGAUGUCAACUAGGUGUUGGGGAAGGAGACUUCUUUAGUACCGCAGCUAACGCGUGAAGUUGACCGCCUGGGGAGUACGGUCGCAAGAUUA